GCUGCACCGUUUCCAUCUCUGAAGGGCCCUCAUUCAGGAAACCACUGGACCACAAAGACAUGAAUUUAGAGACGUUGAAUCAACCUGGGAAACAUUUGGAGACGCCAAGCAUAAUCCAUCACCAAUGUGGGACGCCACUGAAGAAUGUUGUAAAUAAUUUACGUCUCUGGAGACAUUGGUUGUUCUGUUCUGGGUGCCCUGGCAGGAGAGCUGGAGGUGGAUGAUGGAAUGUUAUUUGGCAUGAGGUUUUUACCCUGCAUGAUUGUUUGGCCUUUUAUGGCUCAGUGGUGUGUGUGUUUGGGUUUGAAAUUAAAUGGAUGCGUCCGUCCGUCCGUGCGUCAGUCCGUGCGUCCGUCCGUCCGUGCGUCCGUCCGUGCGUCCGUCCGUCCGUGCGUGCGUCCGUCCGUCCGUCCGUGUCCGACUCACACCUGGCAUGGGGUUCUACGUGCGUGUCCUGGGUUCUAUGUGUGCGUGUCCGGCUUGCUUUGACAGUGAUAAUGUUCAUACGGGGGUCUGUGUGAUUGGCUUGGGAUAUUGGAAUGGUCAAAUAAAUCAUACCUCAUGGAUGGCCACACGUUUACUGAAGGGCCUCCAGUAGACAUGAAGAGCCCAGAGCGACGCUCCGGAGCGAUAUCCAACACACUGGGCAGGAAGGAGAGUAUCCAAAUCAAGUAUAAAAAGGAUGCAAGCGGCGUGUUCAGAUCAGUGACUUCCAACUAGGACUACACCAAUCAGGAUCAAUGGAGGAUGGACACCUAAAGGCAUUCCACAAGGAGAGUCUGAAGUUGGAAAGGGUCCUCAAUGGAUAUUCAAGAUGACCUUCAGACCUGUAAUGAGACGGCUCUUCCUACCUGGCUGGAUUGAUGGAGAGCCCUGUGGAUCUUGUCUUGCUCUCAGUUGCACGUCUUCUCAGGCUGAACUGUAUUUGUUUCGGACAGGACUAGCUGAACGAUUGGUUCCCUUAAAUCAGAACCAAUCCGGAAACUCCAGCUAGUGCGCUCUUCGAGCUGAAGUUGUGCUCUUCAGCUGAGGAGGUAAGGAAACCUUCAAUGGGGCUUCAAGGUGUAAAGAGGAGAAUGUUUCAAAGUGUUCCAUUGUACUCUGAUGAAGCCCGUUGUUGUGUUCCACUGGCUGAGAGGAAGAACCUACACAUCUUCAUCUUGGCCUUUCUCCUCUGAGAAUCCUGCCGCCAUCUUGAAGGAUAUUCCAGCUCAUCUAACUGAUGUCACGGCAGAUUCUCAAACACUUGGUUUCUCCUGAGGGGCGUGUCUAUAGAACUGAAGACUUCAGACAGCACUGUAUCCCAGCAUGCAUCUCUGCUCACUCAGACCCCACCCCCAUGAGUAGGAUGCAACACUCUAGUAAUGGAGAUGCAGAGUUUUAUAAGUAACGUGGGAGCAGACUAAGGUGAUUAGAACACAAUGGCAUGUCAAGUCUGUAAAUCUUUAAACAAUGAAGAUGGUUGGAUAGUUCAGGAAUUGGGCUUUUUAAUACGGGCAGUCCUUUCACUCAGAUGCCCACUUCGCACUGGAGCUGUACAUGUGUUGGCUGGCUGGCAUGAUUUGCUGUUGGUGAUGAGGCGGUCAGGAUGACGUUGCAGGGCUAUGGUCGGCUCUCUGUGAGCUCAACGUUUAGAUUUGCUCUGUAUGGUUUGUACCCUGAAUAAUCUAGAUAAUUGUAAAAUGUAGACACGGUUUUGUAUUGAAUGAUUCCAGGAUUUUAGGUUUAAAGUUGUUUAAACGGACGUACAUGGUAGUUUGGUUCUUCGUACGGUUUUGAGUGAUACAACUUGUACACACUGGGUGCAUAAUAAUGGAAAGGUACACUGAAUUGUAGUUAUGACCAACAGCAACAAACAGAUCUCCUCAAGGUAAGUCUGUUGGCUGUGUUUUAAUGAAGACCAUCGCUGGACUUCAGGAUCUUCCUCCGUUCAGCUCAAGGUGAGGCGCUGGUUCUGUUUUUUCUUUGGUUGGUUCUGGCCGGAAUGUUCCGCCGGAACAUUCUGGCCGGAACGUUCCGCCGGAAUGUUCCGCCGGAACAUUCCGGCCGAACAUUUGGGCUUCCCGCCGUGGAAGGUUCUGAGUGCGAUCACUUGAUUUAGUCCCAAUGGUUAGCAUAGAACGUUGUAGUCUUGACAACCAUAACAAACCACCUGGCAGUUAGUUGGACGGGAGUCCCCUGAGGGGAUCUGGCGGAACGUUCUGGAUUGUAUUUGCGUAACCUCGAGCCGUUGCCAACGGAAACAAUUUUCAGGCGGUUUCCAUUGGGAAUUGUUGCCCCCUAUCUUAAACAACUUAAGUUAGAUAUUAAAUACAUACUGACACGUACGUCGUACAAUAUAUUAAUUUCCGAUAGUUGCGCCGUACUUUUAGCCACGAUGACGUGACGGGACUCUCACUGCGUACAAAACAGCGUUCUACUUGCGGGCCCAUUUUUGACAUCAGGGAAGGCUGAAAAUCAUUUCAAGGUAGAAGAUAAUUUGACAUUUCUUCAACGGAACCCAGCACCUGAAUAUGGCUGAGUAUAUUUGAUUUAAUAUCGAUACUGCUUAGUGUUCUUUGUUACUUCAGCUUUUGUACAUUCUAAAUAUCUGCUGUCAUUAAUUGCCACAGAAGUUAAACCCUACCCAAUGGAAUGACGUUAAACGACUCUGGUACAGCUUUACCAACUGGAUAAUAUCAAAGCUAAAAUAAUGGCCGUCAUUCCCACAUGUUACAGUAGAAGAUACUCUAGAACUAUACAAGGUUAAAAAGGUAACAUGUAGUUUGUCCCAAGGUGUCUGCCUCCUCACCCAGAGCAAGACCUCCACCUCCUCCCCAGAGCCAGACCUCUACUUCCUGUCAGAAGUCCUCCAGAACAGCUGAAAGGCGAGGCUGAGAGGCUGGGGACCGGAGGCUUGUGGUGCCAGGGUGGACCGGAGACUGGGGCUGGAGACCAUGGAGCCUGCAGCACCGGACCAGAGGACCAGGAAUCCAUGGCUGAAGGAGCUGAUGGAGGUGCCGUGCUGAAGGAGCUGAUGGAGGUGCCGUGCUGAAAGAGCUGAUGGAUGAGCCGUGCUGAAGGCCCUGGGCUGGUGGAAGAGCUGGUGGAGGCCCUGCCUGGUGAAGGACGUCUGUCGUGGGACCAGGACUCUGUCUGAGGAGAGCUGCUGGAGGAGCUGAGACGCUGGAGGACGACUAGGAAUCAACCAACAAGGAUUCCUCUAGAACGUGUUUCUGGAGUGGAGGCGAGCUGGUAGGGGAGCCGUGAAUCUGGAGGAUGACCAUCACUCUACCAACAAGGAUUACUUUAGGGCCAGACUCGCGCUGUUUGUUCCAGACCAGGACUCUGGCUGAGGAGAGCUGAUGGAAGAGCCAAGACUCUGGAGGAUGACAUCACUCUACCAACCAGGAUCCUCAGACAAAUUACGUUUGUAACCAGACCAGGAAUCUGGAGGACUGAUGGAGAAGCCUACAUCUGGAAGGCAAAUCCUGAGGACAACCAGGACUUGACCAUCAAGGAUUCCUUAUAAGUUUGCAUCAUCUGGACAUAGUGGACUAGGCAGACACACCUGAGCUGAACCUCACCUGAUCCUGUUUGGUCGGGGGUAGACACACCUGCGCUGAACCCGCCCUGAUUCUGCUGGCCCGGUCUCCUCAGUUCAUCUGAGCCUCGUCCUCCAGAAGACCUGCUGAGCUCAGCGGUCUGAGGCUGAUGGAUCAAUGACCUCCAGUGGGAGUGAUCUUCUUGACCCCACAUGUAACCGCGUGCUUCAACACGCCUUUCCCUCACUUCUGUCACUAACCUCACUAAUUCUCUACUGCUUCCUCUUUCUUCUUUAUCUGUGGUUCAAACCUUUACACUGAAGGCACGUCUUCCUGCCCUCAGAGGGUUCAGCGUUAGGAUUAAGAGUCAGGGUUUAGAGUCAGGGACAGAGCUGGUCAGCGAGGACUGCUUUUACACAAACCUCUUCACUUGCUUUCGGAAUGGUGGUGACAUUUUGAAAAGAUUCAUUUGGGAAAAUGUUUUCCUCUGCUUCCUUUACAAAAUUGUAUUCAACUUCUGUCAAGUGUUUUUGUUUAGAUAUUAAAAUCCCUCAUUGACUUCUA
Molecule: long non-coding RNA, 4088 nt
Organism: Gadus macrocephalus (Pacific cod)
Lineage: Eukaryota; Metazoa; Chordata; Actinopteri; Gadiformes; Gadidae
Exons: 8
Source: RefSeq, a predicted model, not a curated record